This 473-nucleotide ribosomal RNA is filed under the name uncultured soil bacterium. RNAcentral describes it as "bacterial SSU rRNA". It matches the Rfam family "Bacterial small subunit ribosomal RNA", at positions 26 to 518 of the family's 1533-position model. The record is from RNAcentral.
AGAUUGAACGCUAGCGGGAUGCUUUACACAUGCAAGUCGAACGGCAGCGCGGACUUCGGUCUGGCGGCGAGUGGCGAACGGGUGAGUAAUAUAUCGGAACGUGCCCAGUAGCGGGGGAUAACUACGCGAAAGCGUGGCUAAUACCGCAUACGCCCUACGGGGGAAGGGGGGGAUUCUUCGGAACCUCUCACUAUUGGAGCGGCCGAUAUCAGAUUAGCUAGUUGGUGGGGUAAAGGCUCACCAAGGCGACGAUCUGUAGCUGGUUUGAGAGGACGACCAGCCACACUGGGACUGAGACACGGCCCAGACUCCUACGGGAGGCAGCAGUGGGGAAUAUUGGACAAUGGGCAAAGCCUGAUCCAGCAACGCGCGUGAGGAUGACGGCCUUCGGGUUGUAAACCUCUUUCAGCGCCGACGAAGCGAGAGUGACGGUAGCGCAGAAGAAGCACCGGCCAACACGUGCCAGCAGCCGC